GACAGAGGGUGCAAGCGUUGCUCGGAAUCACUGGGCGUAAAGCGCACGUAGGCGGGUCCUUAAGUCCGGGGUGAAAUCCCGGAGCUCAACUCCGGAACUGCCUUUGAUACUGGGGAUCUUGAGUCCGGAAGAGGUGAGUGGAACUCCGAGUGUAGAGGUGAAAUUCGUAGAUAUUCGGAAGAACACCAGUGGCGAAGGCGGCUCACUGGUCCGGUACUGACGCUGAGGUGCGAAAGCGUGGGGAGCAAACAGG
This 253-nucleotide ribosomal RNA is filed under the name uncultured bacterium. RNAcentral's name for it is "partial 16S ribosomal RNA". It matches the Rfam family "Bacterial small subunit ribosomal RNA", at positions 524 to 776 of the family's 1533-position model. The record is from RNAcentral.